This 433-nucleotide ribosomal RNA is filed under the name uncultured bacterium. Its description in RNAcentral is "bacterial SSU rRNA". It matches the Rfam family "Bacterial small subunit ribosomal RNA", at positions 29 to 507 of the family's 1533-position model. The record is from RNAcentral.
AACGAACGCUGGCGGCAUGCCUAACACAUGCAAGUCGAACGAGACCUUCGGGUCUAGUGGCGCACGGGUGCGUAACGCGUGGGAACCUGCCUUUAGGUUCGGAAUAACUCAGAGAAAUUUGAGCUAAUACCGGAUGAUGUCUUCGGACCAAAGAUUUAUCGCCUUUAGAUGGGCCCGCGUUGGAUUAGCUAGUUGGUGGGGUAAAGGCCUACCAAGGCGACGAUCCAUAGCUGGUCUGAGAGGAUGAUCAGCCACACUGGGACUGAGACACGGCCCAGACUCCUACGGGAGGCAGCAGUGGGGAAUAUUGGACAAUGGGCGAAAGCCUGAUCCAGCAAUGCCGCGUGAGUGAUGAAGGCCUUAGGGUUGUAAAGCUCUUUUACCCGAGAUGAUAAUGACAGUAUCGGGAGAAUAAGCUCCGGCUAACUCCGUG